Molecule: ribosomal RNA, 252 nt
Filed under: uncultured bacterium
Lineage: Bacteria
Description: partial 16S ribosomal RNA
Rfam family: Bacterial small subunit ribosomal RNA
Source: RNAcentral
UACGUAGGGGGCGAGCGUUAUCCGGAAUUAUUGGGCGUAAAGCGUGCGUAGGCGGAAUGUUAAGUCAUUUGUAAAAGAUCUCAGCCUAACUGAGUAAGGCGAAUGAAACUGGCAAUCUUGAAUACGGUAGAGGUAAGUGGAAUUCCAUGUGUAGCGGUGGAAUGCGUAGAUAUAUGGAGGAACACCAAUGGCGAAGGCAGCUUACUGGGCCGGAAUUGACGCUGAGGCACGAAAGCGUGGGGAGCAAACAGG